UACGUAGGGUGCAAGCGUUGUCCGGAAUUAUUGGGCGUAAAGAGCUCGUAGGCGGUCUGUCACGUCGGCUGUGAAAACCUGGGGCUCAACUCCGGGCCUGCAGCCGAUACGGGCAGACUAGAGUUCGGCAGGGGAGACUGGAAUUCCUGGUGUAGCGGUGAAAUGCGUAGAUAUCGUAAGGAAGACCAGUGGCGAAGGCGGAUCUCUGGACAGUUACUGACACUGAGGCACGAAGGCCAGGGGAGCAAACGGG
RNAcentral lists this ribosomal RNA (253 nucleotides) under uncultured bacterium. RNAcentral's name for it is "partial 16S ribosomal RNA". It matches the Rfam family "Bacterial small subunit ribosomal RNA", at positions 524 to 776 of the family's 1533-position model. The record is from RNAcentral.